Molecule: long non-coding RNA, 255 nt
Filed under: Elaeis guineensis (African oil palm)
Lineage: Eukaryota; Viridiplantae; Streptophyta; Magnoliopsida; Arecales; Arecaceae
Description: long non-coding RNA (EGUI_LNC014459)
Source: RNAcentral
GAGCGUAACCGAUUGACAGCGACGUCCGUAACUGCCUGGUAGUGGGCCAUUCGGGGCCACGUGGAGUUUGUUACGGAGAGUAGUGGUGUCCAUUGUUGCGACUUGUCGGAGAGUGGUGGGGCCACGUGGAGUUUGUUACAGAAAGUGGAGUGGUGUCCGUUGUCGUGACUUGCCGGAGAGUUUGGACCGGACGGUUGAAGCUCGGUUGGGAUGUCUGGUGGAGUGAAAUAGCUCUCUGUCUCAGCAAUCUAAGAG